UAGCUCAGUUGGUAGAGUAUGGUGUUUGCAACGCCAGGGUUGUGGGUUUGAUUCCCAC
This 58-nucleotide transfer RNA is filed under the name Salmo salar (Atlantic salmon). It matches the Rfam family "tRNA", at positions 8 to 63 of the family's 71-position model. Rfam says of the family: Transfer RNA (tRNA) molecules are approximately 80 nucleotides in length. Their secondary structure includes four short double-helical elements and three loops (D, anti-codon, and T loops). Further hydrogen bonds mediate the characteristic L-shaped molecular structure. tRNAs have two regions of fundamental functional importance: the anti-codon, which is responsible for specific mRNA codon recognition, and the 3' end, to which the tRNAs corresponding amino acid is attached (by aminoacyl-tRNA synthetases). tRNAs cope with the degeneracy of the genetic code in two manners: having more than one tRNA (with a specific anti-codon) for a particular amino acid; and 'wobble' base-pairing, i.e. permitting non-standard base-pairing at the 3rd anti-codon position. The record is from Rfam by way of RNAcentral. RNAcentral also lists the same sequence under 1 other name. Lineage: Eukaryota; Metazoa; Chordata; Actinopteri; Salmoniformes; Salmonidae.